RNAcentral lists this transfer RNA (76 nucleotides) under Bacteroidales bacterium. Its description in RNAcentral is "tRNA-Lys". It matches the Rfam family "tRNA". From Rfam's summary of the family: Transfer RNA (tRNA) molecules are approximately 80 nucleotides in length. Lineage: Bacteria; Pseudomonadati; Bacteroidota; Bacteroidia; Bacteroidales. The record is from RNAcentral.
GGCAAUGUAGCUCAGUAGGCAGAGCACAUCCCUUUUAAGGAUGGGGUCCCGGGUUCGAGCCCCGGCAUUGUCACUA